This 1154-nucleotide long non-coding RNA is filed under the name Cyanistes caeruleus (blue tit). RNAcentral describes it as "lncRNA (ENSCCEG00000003596.1)". The record is from RNAcentral. Lineage: Eukaryota; Metazoa; Chordata; Aves; Passeriformes; Paridae.
UGAGCUCCAGGUGAGCCCAGGUGAGCCCCAGGUGAGUUCAGGUGAGCCCCAGGUGUGAUCAGGUGACCCCCAGGUGUGCUCACCAUCAUCCAAGGGGACAAACCCAGGUACUGAGAAGGCCCCGCCCAACCCAGGUGUGCACCUGGAGCACCCCAAAAAUCCAUCCCGAGCUCAGGUGAGGGCUCAGGUGAGUCCUGGCAGGUCUGGGGUCACACCUGGCUGCAGGUGAACCCCAGGGGUCUCCCAGUUCUUCAUCCGCUGUCGGUGACGUCACAGCUCAGGUGAGACCACGCCGGGGCCUCACCUGGAGCCCAGGUGCUGCAGUUCGGGGUUCACACCUGGAGUUCAGGUGUGGCAGUUUGGGGUUCACACCUGGAGCUCAGGUGCUGCAGUUUGGGGUCCACACCUGGUUCAGGUGUUGCAGUUCAGGGUUCACACCUGGAGCUCAGGUGUUGCAGUUUGGGGUCCACACCUGGCUCAGGUGUUGCAGUUUGGGGUUCACACCUGGAGUUCAGGUGUUGCAGUUUGGGGUCCACACCUGGUUCAGGUGUUGCAGUUCAGGGUUCACACCUGGAGUUCAGGUGUUGCAGUCCGGGUGUUAUGGUUCAGGGUCCACACCUGGCUCAGGUUCUCUCACCUGGAGUUCAGGUGUUGCAGUCCAGGUGUCACAGAUGCUGUUUUUGGGGGUCAAAACCACAAUUUUGGGGAGCUCCACACCCGUCCUGGCUCACAGGUGCUGAAUCCUUCCACCUGGGGCUCAGCUGUUGCAGUCCAGGUGUCACAGCUGCCGUUUUUUGGGGUCAAAACCACAAUUUUGCGGGGCUCCACACCUGUCCUGGCUCACAGGUGCUGGCUCCCCUCACCUCAGGGGCUCAGGUGUCGCGGUGCACGCGCCGGUGCUGCAGCAGGUUGGACGGGUGCGCGAACNNNNNNNNNNNNNNNNNNNNAGGUGUUGCAGUCCAGGUGUUCCCGCUGGCUUUUUUUGGGCUCCACACCCAUCUUGGGGCUGCAGCACCUCCACCCUCCCCUCACCUGGGGCUCAGGUGUUGCAGUCCAGGUGUCACAGCUACCGUUUUUUGGGGUCAAAACCACAAUUUUGGGGGGCUCCACACCCGCCCCGGCUCACAGGUGCCGGCUCCCCUCACCUGAGGGGC